RNAcentral lists this ribosomal RNA (253 nucleotides) under uncultured bacterium. Its description in RNAcentral is "partial 16S ribosomal RNA". It matches the Rfam family "Bacterial small subunit ribosomal RNA", at positions 524 to 776 of the family's 1533-position model. The record is from RNAcentral.
UACGAAGGGGGCUAGCGUUGCUCGGAAUCACUGGGCGUAAAGGGUGCGUAGGCGGGUUUUUAAGUCAGGGGUGAAAUCCUGGAGCUCAACUCCAGAACUGCCUUUGAUACUGAAGAUCUUGAGUCCGGGAGAGGUGAGUGGAACUGCGAGUGUAGAGGUGAAAUUCGUAGAUAUUCGCAAGAACACCAGUGGCGAAGGCGGCUCUCUGGAACGCAACUGACGCUGAGACGCGAAAGCGUGGGGAGCAAACAGG